This is an RNA transcript of Homo sapiens (human), 2883 nucleotides long. It is a transcript of the gene named olfactory receptor family 8 subfamily J member 2 (gene/pseudogene), with no coding region annotated. The record is from RefSeq and is marked validated. The transcript has 2 exons. NCBI's taxonomy places the organism in Eukaryota, Metazoa, Chordata, Mammalia, Primates, Hominidae.
CUGGCCAGAUCUCUCUACACAGGUAAAAGAUGAAGCCAACAAUACAAAUGGCUUCAGGAAAUCUCACAUGGGUGACGGAGUUCAUUCUUGUGGGAGUCUCAGAUGAUCCGGAGCUCCAGAUUCCCCUCUUCCUGGUCUUCCUGGUGCUCUAUUUGCUGACCGUGGCAGGGAACCUGGGCAUCAUCACCCUCACCAGUGUUGACCCUCAACUUCAAACCCCCAUGUACUUUUUCCUCUGACACUUGGCUAUUAUUAAUCUUUGCAAUUCUACUGUCGUUGCCCCUAAAAUGCUGGUUAACUUCCUGGUUACCAAGAAAACCAUAUCAUACUAUGGAUGUGCAGCCCAACUGGGUGGAUUCUUGGUUUUCAUUGUGGCUGAGAUUUUCACGCUGGCUGCAAUGGCCUAUGACCGCUAUGUGGCUAUUUGGAGCCCUCUGCUCUACGCCGUAGUGGUGUCUCCAAAGGUGUGUCGUCUGCUGGUGUCCCUCACAUACCUUCAGAGUCUUAUCACAGCACUGACUGUCUCUUCCUGUGUGUUCUCUGUGUCAUACUGUUCUUCCAACAUUAUCAACCAUUUUUACUGUGAUGAUGUCCCUUUGCUAGCAUUGUCCUGUUCUGAUACCUACAUUCCAGAAACAGCAGUCUUUAUCUUUUCAGGGACCAACUUGCUUUUCUCCAUGAUCGUUGUUCUGAUAUCCUACUUCAACAUUGUUAUUACCAUUUUGAGGAUACGUUCCUCAGAAGGACGACAAAAAGCCUUUUCCACCUGUGCUUCUCACAUGAUAGCUGUGGUUGUGUUCUAUGGGACUCUCCUUUUCAUGUAUUUGCAACCAAGGAGUAAUCAUUCAUUAGAUACUGACAAAAUGGCUUCGGUCUUCUACACCCUGGUGAUACCAGUGCUGAACCCUCUAAUCUACAGCCUCAGGAACAAGAACGUGAAGGAUGCACUAAAGAGGUUCCUAGAUAACCCAUGCCGAUCACUCAAACUAAUGUAAAUGUAAAGCUAAAACUAUCUUCCUUUAGUGCUUUUCGUUUUUUCCUGAAAACUGCUGUGUUUUAAAAAAAAGUGUCAAGAAAUUUUUAGAAAUUCCAUUCAUUUCAGUGGGAAAUGUUUAAUUGUUCUUAUGUCAACCUCACAUACGCAAACAAGAAAACAAUAUCUAUAAUUAAUAAAAAUAAUUUGAAAAUAAUCACAGUUUAUAGAUAACUUAUAGAUAAAAUGUAAGCCACUAAAGGGUUUUUAAAAUAAUUUCCAAACAAGGAAAAGAAUGCCUGAUAGUGCGUGUGGAGGUAUGUGGCAUCAUUUCUUGGAAGGUGGUCAAAACUCAGAUCAUCCUCCUUGCAAGAGACAUCUUUUGUUCAGCUACUAAAAAUUAUAUUUUUAGUUUUGUAGCAUUUUAUCCAUCAAGUUCAACUUUUGUGGAACCAUUUUUAUCUUGUAUUUAAAAAUAAAUUUUUUAUCACAGAAAAACUACACAUGGAAAUAAGACUUAAGGGAAAACAGGCUAACAAAUUUUUAAAGGGGAUUUUCUUUUUUCAUUGUUCUCAGUUGGUGUGUGCACCCAAAGCUAAAUGUUGAUGUUCUCUCAAAUAAGACACACAACUUUUUUCCAUCUCAUCAUAAAACAUUUGUGUAAAGUUAAUUGCCUUUGUUAUGAAACUAUAAUACCAAACACAACUACUUUUAGCAUUUUCAUUCAGUGUAAUUUGAAAUGAAAUUUUAUCAGACAAAAUUUUUUAAAAAUAAUAUUUUCUUAAAGAUGUCCUCCUGUUUUUUUUUAAGUUAGUAGUUACUAUGAACUACAUCUCUUUGCAUGUAAAAGGCUACUAAUGCAUGAUGGAGUGAGGGAGAGUGGCACUUAUAUGUGAAAUAAAGGUAGUGUCUGGAAAUAAAGUACAGUUAUAAUAUUUUCAGGAAGGUUAGAAGCAUACUCAAUCCGGGGACUGUGUGACUCAAAUCAAUAUUUCAACUUCUAACUUUAGCCUUAAAGGAGCAGAAUCACUGAAGGCAGGAAAAAUCACACUAUAUGAGGGACAUUUCUGGUCUCAAGGGCAACAUUAAUAAUAGUUCUAUGGCAUUUGCCUUUAUGUUACUUAUCUGUUUAUUUGUGUAUCUUUUUCUACUUUAUGAUAUGUGUAUUUGGCUUCAUCAACUGAUAUAAUUGUAACUGGAGAACUAUACUUCCCAUUAGAAACAAUUCUUUUGGGUCUGGCUAGAUGAAUAGCAUUGGAGUAACAGGGCUAAACUCACACUUGCAUUUAUACCAAUGUUAUGCAUAUUACUAAAUUAGUUAAGGUCAGUAAGAAGUACUCCAGUGUUUUCUACCUUUUAAUUUGGCUUACACAUGUGUAUUUUGUAAAAAUAAUGAUGUUGUCUCUUGUAUUCGUUUUCUAUUGCUACUGUAAGAAAUCACUACAAACAUAGUAGCUUGGAACAACCCAAAUUUAUUAUCCCACAUUUCUAGGGGUCAGAAAGUCAAAGUGGAUCUCAUGAGGUUAAAACCAAGGUGUUGGCAGUCUGUAUUCCUACUGGAAUCUCCGGGACAAUCUAUUUUCUUGCUUUUUCCAGGUUCUAGAGGUUGCCUACAGCAAUUGGCUUAUGUUCUCCUUCCAGUCAGCAAUCUCAUCACUCUGACCUCUGCUUCCACUGCUGUGUCCCCUCUGCCUUUCACCCUCUUCUUCCCUCUCUCCCCUGUGAUUGUCUUGGACUCACACAGAUAAUCCAUAAAAUCCUCCUCAUCUCAUGAUUCUUAAUCACAUCAGCAAAUUCCCUUUUCCAUGGAAUGUGACAUGUUCAGAUAGAUUCCUGUACCUGUCUUAUUCAUUAGUGCUCAAUGGUAUAGUCUUACAAAAGUUGACAUGCUAUAUAUCCUUUCUACAUUA